UCAAAAUGAUGAGCUUUUCUGUCAGUUCUGCUACUGAAGCAAUUUUUGUAGAGAAUUUUUACCACUUUCUGAUCC
Non-coding RNA from Lutzomyia longipalpis, 75 nucleotides. Lineage: Eukaryota; Metazoa; Arthropoda; Insecta; Diptera; Psychodidae. The record is from Rfam.